RNAcentral lists this long non-coding RNA (749 nucleotides) under Physcomitrium patens. Its description in RNAcentral is "long non-coding RNA (PPAT_LNC001965)". Lineage: Eukaryota; Viridiplantae; Streptophyta; Bryopsida; Funariales; Funariaceae. The record is from RNAcentral.
GAGAGGUGGAUAAAGUUUAAAAAAAUAUCAAUAAUUUAAUUAAAAGUUAUUAAAGUUCUAAACUACCUUAUGAUUUAGUUUAUGAUUGAAGAUUGAUUAGGAUUUGAUUUAAGAUUUAGGAUUUAGUUAGGAUUUGGUUUAGGAUUUAGAAUUUGAUUUUGGAUUUUAGAUUUUAUUAGGAUUUGAUUUAGAACUUAGAAUUUGAUUAGAAAUUGGUUUAGGAUUUAUAAUUUGGUUAGGAUUUGUGUAGAGUUUGAAUUAAGAUUUAUGAUUGAUUAGGAUUUAAUUUAGGAUUUAGAAUUUAGUUAGAAUUUGAUUUAUGAUUUAUGGUUUGUUUAGGAUUUGGUUUAGAAUUUAAGAUUUGGUUAGGAUUUGAUUUAGGAUUUAGGAUUUAGGAUUUGGUUAAGAUUUGAUUUAGAGUUUAGAAUUUGGUUAGGAUUUGAUUUAGGAUUUAGAAUUUUAUUAGGAUUUGUAUAGGAUUUGGAUUAAGAUUUAGGAUUGAUUAGGGUUUGAUUUAAAAUUUAAGAUUUAAUUAGGAUUUGAUUUAGCAUUUAAGAUUUAAUUAGAGUUUAUUUAGGAUUUGGUUUAAGAUUUAGGAUUUGACUAGGAUUUAUUUAAGGUUUAAUUUAGGAUUUAGAAUUAUUUUAGGAUUUGAUUUAGGAUUUAGAAUUUAUUUAGGAUUUGAUUAAAAUCUAUUAGGAUUUUAAUUAGGAUUAAAUUCAAAAUUAAUUGUGAUUUAUUUAAGAUAU